This 460-nucleotide ribosomal RNA is filed under the name uncultured bacterium. Its description in RNAcentral is "partial 16S ribosomal RNA". It matches the Rfam family "Bacterial small subunit ribosomal RNA", at positions 338 to 795 of the family's 1533-position model. The record is from RNAcentral.
CCUACGGGUGGCUGCAGUGAGGAAUAUUGGUCAAUGGACGAGAGUCUGAACCAGCCAAGUAGCGUGAAGGAUGACUGCCCUAUGGGUUGUAAACUUCUUUUAUAUGGGAAUAAAACGUUCCACGUGUGGGAUUUUGUAUGUACCAUAUGAAUAAGGAUCGGCUAACUCCGUGCCAGCAGCCGCGGUAAUACGGAGGAUCCGAGCGUUAUCCGGAUUUAUUGGGUUUAAAGGGAGCGCAGGUGGAUUGUUAAGUCAGUUGUGAAAGUUUGUGGCUCAACCGUAAAAUUGCAGUUGAAACUGGCAGUCUUGAGUACAGUAGAGGUGGGCGGAAUUCGUGGUGUAGCGGUGAAAUGCUUAGAUAUCACGAAGAACUCCGAUUGCGAAGGCAGUUCACUGGACUGCAACUGACACUGAGGCUCGAAAGUGUGGGUAUCAAACAGGAUUAGAUACCCCUGUAGUC